This 253-nucleotide ribosomal RNA is filed under the name uncultured bacterium. RNAcentral's name for it is "partial 16S ribosomal RNA". It matches the Rfam family "Bacterial small subunit ribosomal RNA", at positions 524 to 776 of the family's 1533-position model. The record is from RNAcentral.
UACAGAGGGGGCAAGCGUUGUCCGGAAUUACUGGGCGUAAAGGGCGUGCAGGCGGUUUGUUAAGUGCAGGGUGAAAGCUCCCGGCUCAACUGGGAGAGGUCCUUGCAUACUGGCGAACUCGAGGGAGGCAGAGGAAAGUGGAAUUCCCGGUGUAGUGGUGAUAUGCGUAGAUAUCGGGAGGAACACCUGUGGCGAAGGCGGCUUUCUGGGCCUUACCUGACGCUGAGACGCGAAAGCGUGGGGAGCGAACCGG